Molecule: small RNA, 217 nt
Filed under: Bacillus thuringiensis serovar finitimus YBT-020
Lineage: Bacteria; Bacillati; Bacillota; Bacilli; Caryophanales; Bacillaceae
Also listed under: 1 other name
Description: Bacillus sRNA ncr1575
Rfam family: Bacillus sRNA ncr1575
Source: Rfam by way of RNAcentral
AAAUAGAAUGAUGAAAGGAAUGAUGGAUGAAUAAUGAUUAACUAAUUUAUAUUUUAAGUUGAAUUUUAUAACUUCAAACUACAAAAUAUAGGGUUAGUCUAUCCAUUUUUAUAAUUCAUUUCAUACUUUAUUUGUCAUGAUUCAAAUGAUUAAUAAGUACUUACUUAAGUAUAAGCGACAGACUAAUCCUUCCGAUUAAAAAUUGGGGGAUUUUUUU